GAUGAAGAACGUAGCGAAAUGCGAUAAGUAGUGUGAAUUGCAGAAUUCAGUGAAUCAUCGAAUCUUUGAACGCACAUUGCGCCCCUUGGUAUUCCAUGGGGCAUGCCUGUUCGAGCGUCAUUUGUACCUUCAAGCUCUGCUUGGUGUUGGGUGUUUGUCCUUGCUCUAGUGGCGGGGCUCGCCUUAAAGUAAUUGGCAGCCAGUGUUUUGGUUUUGAAGCGCAGCACAAGUCGCGAUUCAAGUCUAUACGCUAGUUUCCACAAGUCUUUUAUCACUUUUGACCUCGGAUCAGGUAGGGAUACCCGCUGAACUUAAGCAUAUCAAUAAGCGGAGGA
Molecule: unclassified non-coding RNA, 335 nt
Filed under: soil metagenome
Description: partial contains 5.8S ribosomal RNA, internal transcribed spacer 2, and large subunit ribosomal RNA
Rfam family: 5.8S ribosomal RNA (bases 1-120)
Source: RNAcentral